RNAcentral lists this ribosomal RNA (461 nucleotides) under uncultured Rhodoferax sp. Its description in RNAcentral is "bacterial SSU rRNA". It matches the Rfam family "Bacterial small subunit ribosomal RNA", at positions 923 to 1382 of the family's 1533-position model. Lineage: Bacteria; Pseudomonadati; Pseudomonadota; Betaproteobacteria; Burkholderiales; Comamonadaceae. The record is from RNAcentral.
GCACAAGCGGUGGAGCAUGUGGUUUAAUUCGAUGCAACGCGAAGAACCUUACCUGGGCUUGACAUCCCGGGAAUCCCCUGGGAAACAGGGGAGUGCCCGUUCGGGGAACCCGGUGACAGGUGCUGCAUGGCUGUCGUCAGCUCGUGUCGUGAGAUGUUGGGUUAAGUCCCGCAACGAGCGCAACCCUCGUCAUUAGUUGCUACAUUCAGUUGGGCACUCUAAUGAGACUGCCGGUGACAAGCCGGAGGAAGGUGGGGAUGACGUCAAGUCCUCAUGGCCCUUAUAGGUGGGGCUACACACGUCAUACAAUGGCUGGUACAAAGGGUUGCCAACCCGCGAGGGGGAGCUAAUCCCAUAAAGCCAGUCGUAGUCCGGAUCGUAGUCUGCAACUCGACUACGUGAAGUCGGAAUCGCUAGUAAUCGUGGAUCAGAAUGUCACGGUGAAUACGUUCCCGGGUCUU